GUGAGAGUAGCUCAAUUGGCAGAGCACUGGACUGUGACUCCGGGGGUUGUGGGUUCGAGCCCCAUCUCUCACC
Molecule: transfer RNA, 73 nt
Filed under: Vulgatibacter incomptus
Lineage: Bacteria; Pseudomonadati; Myxococcota; Myxococcia; Myxococcales; Vulgatibacteraceae
Rfam family: tRNA
About the family: Transfer RNA (tRNA) molecules are approximately 80 nucleotides in length. Their secondary structure includes four short double-helical elements and three loops (D, anti-codon, and T loops).
Source: Rfam by way of RNAcentral